GACGAACGCUGGCGGCGUGCUUAACACAUGCAAGUCGAACGGAAAGGCCUCUUUCGGGGGGUACUCGAGUGGCGAACGGGUGAGUAACGCGUGAGUAACCUGCCCUUGACUUUGGGAUAACUUCAGGAAACUGGGGCUAAUACCGGAUAGGAGCUCCUGCUGCAUGGUGGGGGUUGGAAAGUUUCGGCGGUUGGGGAUGGACUCGCGGCUUAUCAGCUUGUUGGUGGGGUAGUGGCUUACCAAGGCUUUGACGGGUAGCCGGCCUGAGAGGGUGACCGGCCACAUUGGGACUGAGAUACGGCCCAGACGCCUACGGGAGGCAGCAGGGGGGAAUAUUGCACAAUGGGUGGAAGCCUGAUGCAGCAACGCCGUGUGCGGGAGGACGGCCUUCGGGUUGUAAACCGCUUUCGCUCAUGACGAAGCUUUGUGUGACGGUAGUGGGUAAAGAAGCACCGGCUAACUACGUG
RNAcentral lists this ribosomal RNA (467 nucleotides) under uncultured bacterium. RNAcentral's name for it is "partial 16S ribosomal RNA". It matches the Rfam family "Bacterial small subunit ribosomal RNA", at positions 28 to 507 of the family's 1533-position model. The record is from RNAcentral.